AUUGAACGCUGGCGGCAUGCCUUACACAUGCAAGUCGAACGGCAGCACGGACUUCGGUCUGGUGGCGAGUGGCGAACGGGUGAGUAAUGUAUCGGAACGUACCUUUCAGUGGGGGAUAACGUAGCGAAAGUUACGCUAAUACCGCAUAUUCUGUGCGCAGGAAAGCAGGGGAUCGCAAGACCUUGCGCUGAUUGAGCGGCCGAUAUCAGAUUAGCUAGUUGGUGAGGUAAAGACUCACCAAGGCGACGAUCUGUAGCGGGUCUGAGAGGAUGAUCCGCCACACUGGAACUGAGACACGGUCCAGACUCCUACGGGAGGCAGCAGUGGGGAAUUUUGGACAAUGGGGGCAACCCUGAUCCAGCCAUGCCGCGUGAGUGAAGAAGGCCUUCGGUUGUAAAGCUCUUUCGGCCGGGUAGAAAUCGUAUGGGUUAAUACCCUGUGCGGAUGACGGUACCGGCAUAAGAAGCACCGGCUAACUACGUAGCCC
RNAcentral lists this ribosomal RNA (487 nucleotides) under uncultured bacterium. RNAcentral describes it as "bacterial SSU rRNA". It matches the Rfam family "Bacterial small subunit ribosomal RNA", at positions 30 to 511 of the family's 1533-position model. The record is from RNAcentral.